This 1390-nucleotide long non-coding RNA is filed under the name Papio anubis (olive baboon). RNAcentral describes it as "lncRNA (ENSPANG00000043708.1)". Lineage: Eukaryota; Metazoa; Chordata; Mammalia; Primates; Cercopithecidae. The record is from RNAcentral.
GAAUUAUUUUGCUGCAAACAUAUAACCUAUUCUGCAUUGGAAAACAUUAACUGCCAAUUUGAUUGACUGCAUAAGUUGCUUAAAUGAGUUAUUUUGGUGCUAUUUGGAUUAACUUUUAGUAUUUAGUCAUUUGCACUAUGAAGAAAAAAGCCAGUGAAAAUGAGGUAUGAUGGCUCCAUACUAAUUUGCAAGUAGGCCCUGGAGGUCCCACCCCACUCACUUCUCUGGUCUUUUACCCUCUACUUCCCUUCACUCAUCCAGCGUUCACUUCAUGCUGGACCUUUACCGUGCCAAGCGCGCCCCACCUUAGGACCUUCACACAGGCUGAGGCAGGAGGAUCCCUUGAGCCCAGGAGUUCAAGACUGUAGGGCAUCAUGAUUACAUCUGUGAAUUGCCACUGCACACCAGCCUGGACAACAUAGCAAGACCCUGUCUGUAAAACAAAAACAAAGAACUAAUUAAAAAUAAAAAAGAGAGAAUGUCAGCAAAAGAGGAAGGAAUACGCAUUAGGCUCAGGACUCCAAUCUUCAUUUUCUGCAUUUUCAGAGCGGGCAUGGUUGCUACGAUUUGCUCAGGGUCGUUGUCAAGUCACCUUGCAAGAUAACAGCCUGCUGAGUCACCGCUAGCACCUAGACUUACUUUCAGCAAGGAGUCCAACACUACUAGCGGAAAUCCUGUGCCUCUAACAAGCUCAGCCUCUCUGUGGGGCGUUCUUCGGGAUCCAUCCGCAGGAGCGCCUGUCCUUUGGGAGGAAGAAGAGCCCACUGGGGUCAUUUGCCUUGGUCUGCUCUCUUCGCUAGAUCCACCUAAAGGGUCCUGCAGAUCUUUGAGCAUUAAGACAAAACCUCUGUCCUGAAAGACUUCGUGAGCUGGUCCUGAGAGACUGUGGCCAAUGCCAGUGUGUUAUCAAUUUCUGAAAUCCGAACUUCAGAAUGAAGGGAAGGGGGUCAAAAGCCUGCCUCAGGGUGUCAGGCAAACCUGAAUAUGAGAGCUGUGAGUUUGUUUUGUUGUUUAGUUGAUUGGGGCUGUGGUUGUGGGCAUGGUGGUGUAACACAUUAUUUCUUCUGGUCUACCUUUGCUCCCUUCCCUCCCUAAGUUACAGAAAUAACACAUGCUUGUUUGAACGUGCAUUUGCUACAACAAGCAUGUGGUUUUUUUGUAUCUUAAAAUAAUACCAAAGGAAAUAAAAGUUUUUCCCUUACCCCAUCAUUAUCCCUCCAAGGUAACCAUGUUAACAGACUGGUAUGUGACCCUCCACACCUUUUCUCACACUUACACAACACAUACCAACAAAAGUACAUAGCUGGGGCUGGGCGUGGUGGGUCACGCCUGUAAUCCCAGCACUUUGGGAGGCCAAGAUGGGCAGAUCACGAGGUCGGGACAUCGAGAC